Molecule: ribosomal RNA, 851 nt
Filed under: uncultured Shigella sp.
Lineage: Bacteria; Pseudomonadati; Pseudomonadota; Gammaproteobacteria; Enterobacterales; Enterobacteriaceae
Description: bacterial SSU rRNA
Rfam family: Bacterial small subunit ribosomal RNA
Source: RNAcentral
CGCCCUUAGAGUUUGAUCCUGGCUCAGAUUGAACGCUGGCGGCAGGCCUAACACAUGCAAGUCGAACGGUAAAGCAGCUUGCUGCUUACGAGUGGCGGACGGGUGAGUAAUGUCUGGGAAGCUGCCUGAUGGAGGGGGAUAACUACUGGAAACGGUAGCUAAUACCGCAUAAUGUCGCAAGACCAAAGAGGUUCGUCUUGCCAUCGGAUGUGCCCAGAUGGGAUUAGCUUGUUGGUGGGGUAACGGCUCACCAAGGCGACGAUCCCUAGCUGGUCUGAGAGGAUGACCAGCCACACUGGAACUGAGACACGGUCCAGACUCCUACGGGAGGCAGCAGUGGGGAAUAUUGCACAAUGGGCGCAAGCCUGAUGCAGCCAUGCCGCGUGUAUGAAGAAGGCCUUCGGGUUGUAAAGUACUUUCAGCGGGGAGGAAGGGAGUAAAGUAAUCUUUGCUCUUGACGUUACCCGCAGAAGAAGCACCGGCUAACUCCGUGCCAGCAGCCGCGGUAAUACGGAGGGUGCAAGCGUUAAUCGGAAUUACUGGGCGUAAAGCGCACGCAGGCGGUUUGUUAAGUCAGAUGUGAAAUCCCCGGGCUCAACCUGGGAACUGCAUCUGAUACUGGCAAGCUUGAGUCUCGUAGAGGGGGGUAGAAUUCCAGGUGUAGCGGUGAAAUGCGUAGAGAUCUGGAGGAAUACCGGUGGCGAAGGCGGCCCCCUGGACGAGACUGACGCUCAGGUGCGAAAGCGUGGGGAGCAAACAGGAUUAGAUACCCUGGUAGUCCACGCCGUAAACGAUGUCGACUUGGAGGUUGUGCUCUUGAGGCGUGGCUUCCGGAGCUAACGCGUUAAGUC